This 1340-nucleotide ribosomal RNA is filed under the name uncultured bacterium. RNAcentral describes it as "bacterial SSU rRNA". It matches the Rfam family "Bacterial small subunit ribosomal RNA", at positions 55 to 1399 of the family's 1533-position model. The record is from RNAcentral.
AUGCAAGUCGAGCGAAGUGAGAUUAGAAGAAAUUUUCGGAUGGAAUCUAAACUUAUCUUAGCGGCGGACGGGUGAGUAACGCGUGAGGAACCUGCCUUUCACAAAGGGAUAGCCUCGGGAAACUGGGAUUAAUACCUUAUGAAACUAUAAUAUCGCAUGGUAAGAUAGUUAAAGCGAAAGCGGUGAAAGAUGGACUCGCGUCCCAUUAGUUAGUUGGUGAGGUAAAGGCUCACCAAGGCAGCGAUGGGUAGCCGGCCUGAGAGGGUGAACGGCCACACUGGAACUGAGAGACGGUCCAGACUCCUACGGGAGGCAGCAGUGGGGGAUAUUGCACAAUGGGGGAAACCCUGAUGCAGCGACGCCGCGUGGAGGAAGAAGGUUUUCGGAUUGUAAACUCCUGUCGUUAGGGACGAUAAUGACGGUACCUAACAAGAAAGCACCGGCUAACUACGUGCCAGCAGCCGCGGUAAAACGUAGGGUGCAAGCGUUGUCCGGAAUUACUGGGUGUAAAGGGAGCGCAGGCGGACCGGCAAGUUGGAAGUGAAAACUAUGGGCUCAACCCAUAAAUUGCUUUCAAAACUGCUGGCCUUGAGUAGUGCAGAGGUAGGUGGAAUUCCCGGUGUAGCGGUGGAAUGCGUAGAUAUCGGGAGGAACACCAGUGGCGAAGGCGACCUACUGGGCACCAACUGACGCUGAGGCUCGAAAGCAUGGGUAGCAAACAGGAUUAGAUACCCUGGUAGUCCAUGCCGUAAACGAUGAUUACUAGGUGUUGGGGGAUUGACCCCCUCAGUGCCGCAGUUAACACAAUAAGUAAUCCACCUGGGGAGUACGACCGCAAGGUUGAAACUCAAAGGAAUUGACGGGGGCCCGCACAAGCAGUGGAGUAUGUGGUUUAAUUCGAAGCAACGCGAAGAACCUUACCAGGUCUUGACAUCCGAUGCAUAGCACAGAGAUGUGUGAAAUCCUUCGGGACAUCGAGACAGGUGGUGCAUGGUUGUCGUCAGCUCGUGUCGUGAGAUGUUGGGUUAAGUCCCGCAACGAGCGCAACCCUUAUUGCCAGUUACUACGUUAAGAGGACUCUGGCGAGACUGCCGUUGACAAAACGGGGGAAGGUGGGGAUGACGUCAAAUCAUCAUGCCCUUUAUGACCUGGGCUACACACGUACUACAAUGGCGUUAAACAAAGAGAAGCAAGACCGCGAGGUGGAGCAAAACUCAAAAACAACGUCUCAGUUCAGAUUGCAGGCUGCAACUCGCCUGCAUGAAGUCGGAAUUGCUAGUAAUCGCGGAUCAGCAUGCCGCGGUGAAUACGUUCCCGGGCCUUGCACACACCGCCCGUCA